Molecule: non-coding RNA, 3577 nt
Organism: Delphinapterus leucas (beluga whale)
Lineage: Eukaryota; Metazoa; Chordata; Mammalia; Artiodactyla; Monodontidae
Source: RefSeq, a predicted model, not a curated record
GACUGUGCUGGGGGCCCGAAGGGAGCUCUAAGGAAAGCAAACUGCUGGGUGCGUCCAGGCUCCGGUCCCGGCUACCCGCAACGGGGCGGCUGUGGGGUACGCGGGGAUCCCUUAAUCCCGCGGGGGAUCCCCACGCCCGCCCGCAGCACUGCGCCCGCCCGUGACCUGGCUCUGCCUGUCGCACUCAGGCUCCUUACUUCGCCCCCAGACUCCGAGGUGGGGACGGGUAAAAGGGAGGCGAAUCCAGGGCGCUGGCAUCCCACGAAUUUGACUCCACCCGUCCGGAAACAGAGUACUAGGUUAAGGGAGGAUCGCUGCUGAGGAGGCGGGGGUCUCGCCCGCUGGGAGGGGAAGAAACUGGCACAGAAGCUGGGUACCCUGGCUCCUCUCCUAGUCCCCUCUCCCCUCUGGAUGUCAUAUUAACACUCUCCCGGACAAGGAAAAGCCUGCUGGAAUUGGGACUGUAGAUAAAGAUGCAUAAGACAGAAGAGAGAUUUCUCCAGCCCGACUGCAACUGGGGGAGAAAGAGAGCCUAGGGGGCCCUGAAGUUCAUUCAUCUGUAUGGUUUCCAGCCAGAGAAAAGACCAAAGAGAAACCCCUUCUGAAAGAAGAAACAACACAUUUAGAAAAAACUGAAUAAAAUUAUAGCAUUACUUUAAAAGAAAAGUGGGGGGUGGAAUCCCCUGGCGGUCCAGUGGUUACUCAGUGCCUUCACUGCCGGGGCCAGGUUCAAUCCCCACAAGCCAUGCGACGCAGCCCAAAACAAACAAACAAAAAAGGAACAUCCUUGACCUGCACAGAAAAUUAUCUAGAGUCUGAGGCUCAACCUCACCCUGACCCACCCAGAUGUGUGACCCUCCAAGGCCCGUGCUCUUUCCACGUGGGGCCCAACUUUGGAAGCCAUUUAAGCUCCUAUUACACCUGGUCUGCCAAAGCCAGCGGGAUUCUCCACGUUGGUCACGAACCUGGGCCUGGAGACUAGAAAAAAGGACAAUGUUGGACUGAUGUCAACCUGUUUCCAUUAACUCCUUCCCUGAGCUCUCCUCAGCUUUUGUUGAGGGACAGAACAUAAGGCAAUUUGAUCAAGACCCAGAGGACUGGGUCAAGCGGGGCUGAAACCAUGAGGGAAGCUUGAUCACCUGCAGAGAUCAGGAGGUUGGCAACAUGCUCAAUGCAGCAUGCAAGUUGACCAUGGCAUCAGAAGCAGAAAGAACAUUCCAGCGGUUUGCUGUCUUUGGAGGAUCGUCAAGCAGUGGCACUGAAAUGAACAACAAGAACUUCUCCAAGCUGUGCAAAGACUGUGGCAUCAUGGAUGACAAGAGGGUCACCUCCACUGACGUGGACAUCGUGUUCAGCAAAGUCAAGGCCAAGAAUGCCCGAACCAUCACUUUCCAACAGUUCCAGGAAGCGAUGAAAGAACUGGGCCAGAAGAAGUUCAAGGGGAAAAGCCCGGAUGAAGCCCUGGAGAACAUUUAUAGACUCAUGGAGGGCAAGGACCCAGCUACCGCCGGUGUUACUAAAGCAAUGACGGUGGGAGGGGUGAGCCAGCUGACGGACACCAGCAAGUACACGGGCACCCACAAGGAGCGCUUUGACCAGAGCGGCAAGGGCAAAGGCAUCGCGGGACGGGAGGACAUGACUGACAACUCAGGCUACAGCUGACGGGGAGGGAGAAUCCAUUUUCAACACCCAGCCUGGAACUGAGUUUUACCCCACCCCACCUCCAUCAUGGUAGACAUGGAAUGGAAGAUCCUACUGACUGCCAAGGGUAGCCCAGGAAGAUGGCCAGAGUGAUUCACAGGCAGAUGCAAAAAGUACAGACAGGUCCCAUCUGGAUGUUUUCGACCAAAGCUGGCUGGAGGAACAGGAGCUGGACCACAGGUGGUGUGCCAUUCUUCCUGCUGGCAGAGUUAAGGUGGUUGGAAGCAGAGGUGGGUCUCGAGUGGCUCUCCGCCCCUUCCCAGAGCUUCCAGUGUGCCCCCAGUCUCCCCUAUGUGCCUUCCCCUAUGCCCUCAAAGCCGGACUGUGCUUCAGAGAUCAUCCGGCCCAAGCCUUCAUGCCUCAGAGAGAGGAGACAUUUGCCCAAGGUCACCCAUCUGGUCAGCCACCUCUAGCUUGGUCUACCUUAGGGUCUCAGCCUCACCCAGUCCGGGAGCUGUAACACUUACGAAAUAUGAGGUCCAACUGGUCCUUGGGUGAGAGACGCUUCCCCUUUAUCCCUGGCCCAGUUAAUCCUUCUGGUAAAAAUGCAGAGAGUCCAGAAGGGACAGGCUCAGCUACACUUCUCUGACUGAAGUGGAAGGACAGGAGCUGGAGGACAGCAGGGCAGGGGUGGGAUUCUUCCUUCCUGAGGCCAAGGACAGCCCAAAGGUAAGAAGAGCCUAGAAAGGUUUCUGGAUGAAGACCAGUCUGAGAGGAAGGACUGUCCCCUGGGUUUGAGGAGCCCCUGUGAUGACGGGGGUGGAUGGGGGGGAGGAAAGAGACAUUGCUUUCUGGUCUCCUCCUCUCUGGUGUCAUCAGAACACUUAGUUCCAGCCUCCUUGCGAGAAGUUCCGAAGUUCUUGGGUUUCCUUUGAUGUCUUCUCUGGUUCACAGGCCAUGCUCCUGUGGAAAAGUGACAAGGAAAGCACCGUCAUGUUCCUGAGGAACAAAGUGCUGCUUAUUCCUGACCCUCAGAGAACAGAGGGUCUUCCGCUCUCUCAUCCCACUCACUAGAUCCCCGGAGGCCAGGCUUUCCCCUCUCCUGGACACCACACACUCUCCAACUCCAGGAGGACUCUACACCUCAUAGGACAGAAGACCUCCAUGACCUGGCCGCCAUCAUGUCUCCAACUGCAUCUCCAUCUCUGCCUGCUUCCCCCAGUGGUGCCCACCACCUCUCGCUCACGUUAUCUCCUCUACCCAGCAUGCUGCUCUCUCUUCCCGCUCUCACCCCUGUCAGUUCCGCUGGGCCAGCUCAUGUGAAGAUCAGCCCGGACGUCCUAUUUAAGAAGCGUCUGCUCAGGGCACCUCCCCAGGGAAGUGUGCACAGCCAAGUAAGUGAGGAUAAAGCCCACACAGGCAGGUGGCUCAUCUGUAUCCUUCAGGCUGGUGUAUCAGCCAACACCCGGUGGGAAUCCAUGCAGGGUGGUGCCAGAGCCCGGCUGACUCAAGUCUUUGGUUUGAGGAAGCUACUAGCACUUUGUGGCCCCAGACUCAGAGUGUGCUACCUCUUCCUUAUUUGCUCAAGGCUGCAGCUUCCCUUGGAAGAGAAAGGGGCUUUUCAUGCUUCUUGGUCUUCUUUCUUCAUUCCUACCCACCCACCACCGCUAACCUCUGCACACAGUGUUACAGAGAUGGAACAGCACAUAGUAAAGAGUUUAGGACUUGAUCUCAGAUAACCUACUGAGCUUCUGUUUCCUCUUCUAUAAAAUGGAAGCCUUCCUUACCUCAUGAGGCUGCAAGAAUAAAAUGAGAUGGUCAAUAUGGAGGUGACUUUUAGCCAUUAAACAAUAUAUAAAUGGAAAACUGGAUAUGGUCUCCUAGGUCUUAUAACAACUCACUUUUUUCUCCAACUCACUUAACAUCUGCAAAGCCU